ACGAUACCUGUGAUCACAAUAUGUGAAACCUCUGCCUCAGGUCUGGCUAGUACAACAUAGCACUGCCCACGACUACCAACUACCUUAGUGGCCCCACAACUACCCCUACAAGCUCCACUACCUCUAUCCUUCACACCUCUGGUAGCACCGCUGCCUCUCAAUGUUGAAAUAAGAGUAGCCCUAAUCACAUAGUGGGGGCAGUCCUUGGCCAAAUAUCCAACCUCAUGACGUACAUAACAAGUCCG
This 245-nucleotide long non-coding RNA is filed under the name Capsicum annuum. RNAcentral describes it as "long non-coding RNA (CANN_LNC007152)". Lineage: Eukaryota; Viridiplantae; Streptophyta; Magnoliopsida; Solanales; Solanaceae. The record is from RNAcentral.